RNAcentral lists this ribosomal RNA (207 nucleotides) under uncultured bacterium. RNAcentral describes it as "partial 16S ribosomal RNA". It matches the Rfam family "Bacterial small subunit ribosomal RNA", at positions 524 to 726 of the family's 1533-position model. The record is from RNAcentral.
UACGGAGGGUGCGAGCGUUGUCCGGAAUCAUUGGGCGUAAAGGGCGCGUAGGUGGCCCGGUCAGUUCGUGGUGAAAGCGCGGGGCUCAACCCUGCGUCGGCCAUGAAUACUGCCGCGGCUGGAGCACUGUAGAGGCAGGCGGAAUUCCGGGUGUAGCGGUGGAAUGCGUAGAGGAUCCGGAAGAACGACCGGUGGCGCAAGGCGGGU